This 464-nucleotide ribosomal RNA is filed under the name uncultured bacterium. Its description in RNAcentral is "partial 16S ribosomal RNA". It matches the Rfam family "Bacterial small subunit ribosomal RNA", at positions 339 to 795 of the family's 1533-position model. The record is from RNAcentral.
CUACGGGAGGCUGCAGUGGGGAAUAUUGCACAAUGGGCACAAGCCUGAUGCAGCCAUGCCGCGCGUAUGAAGAAGGCCUUCGGGUUAUAAAGUACUUUCAGCGGGGAGGAAGGGAGUAAAGUUAAUACCUUUGCUCAUUGACGUUACCCGCAGAAGAAGCACCGGCUAACUCCGUGCCAGCAGCCGCGGUAAUACGGAGGGUGCAAGCGUUAAUCGGAAUUACUGGGCGUAAAGCGCACGCAGGCGGUUUGUUAAGUCAGAUGUGAAAUCCCCGGGCUCAACCUGGGAACUGCAUCUGAUACUGGCAAGCUUGAGUCUCGUAGAGGGGGGUAGAAUUCCAGGUGUAGCGGUGAAAUGCGUAGAGAUCUGGAGGAAUACCGGUGGCGAAGGCGGCCCCCUGGACGAAGACUGACGCUCAGGUGCGAAAGCGUGGGGAGCAAACAGGAUUAGAUACCCUUGUAGUC